GAUGAACGCUGGCGGCGUGCCUAAUACAUGCAAGUCGAGCGAACGGACGAGAAGCUUGCUUCUCUGAUGUUAGCGGCGGACGGGUGAGUAACACGUGGAUAACCUACCUAUAAGACUGGGAUAACUUCGGGAAACCGGAGCUAAUACCGGAUAAUAUUUUGAACCGCAUGGUUCAAAAGUGAAAGACGGUCUUGCUGUCACUUAUAGAUGGAUCCGCGCUGCAUUAGCUAGUUGGUAAGGUAACGGCUUACCAAGGCAACGAUGCAUAGCCGACCUGAGAGGGUGAUCGGCCACACUGGAACUGAGACACGGUCCAGACUCCUACGGGAGGCAGCAGUAGGGAAUCUUCCGCAAUGGGCGAAAGCCUGACGGAGCAACGCCGCGUGAGUGAUGAAGGUCUUCGGAUCGUAAAACUCUGUUAUUAGGGAAGAACAUAUGUGUAAGUAACUGUGCACAUCUUGACGGUGCCUAAUCAGAAAGCCACGGCUAACUACGUGCCAGCAGCCGCGGUAAUACGUAGGUGGCAAGCGUUAUCCGGAAUUAUUGGGCGUAAAGCGCGCGUAGGCGGUUUUUUAGUCUGAUGUGAAAGCCCACGGCUCAACCGUGGAGGGUCAUUGGAAACUGGAAAACUUGAGUGCAGAAGAGGAAAGUGGAAUUCCAUGUGUAGCGGUGAAAUGCGCAUAGAUAUGGAGGAACACCAGUGGCGAAGGCGACUUUCUGGUCUGUAACUGACGCUGAUGUGCGAAAGCGUGGGGAUCAAACAGGACUAGAUACCCUGGUAGUCCACGCCGUAAACGAUGAGUGCUAAGUGUUAGGGGGUUUCCGCCCCUUAGUGCUGCAGCUAACGCAUUAAGCACUCCGCCUGGGGAGUACGACCGCAAGGUUGAAACUCAAAGGAAUUGACGGGGACCCGCACAAGCGGUGGAGCAUGUGGUUUAAUUCGAAGCAACGCGAAGAACCUUACCAAAUCUUGACAUCCUUUGACAACUCUAGAGAUAGAGCCUUCCCCUUCGGGGGACAAAGUGACAGGUGGUGCAUGGUUGUCGUCAGCUCGUGUCGUGAGAUGUUGGGUUAAGUCCCGCAACGAGCGCAACCCUUAAGCUUAGUUGCCAUCAUUAAGUUGGGCACUCUAAGUUGACUGCCGGUGACAAACCGGAGGAAGGUGGGGAUGACGUCAAAUCAUCAUGCCCCUUAUGAUUUGGGCUACACACGUGCUACAAUGGACAAUACAAAGGGCAGCGAAACCGCGAGGUCAAGCAAAUCCCAUAAAGUUGUUCUCAGUUCGGAUUGUAGUCUGCAACUCGACUACAUGAAGCUGGAAUCGCUAGUAAUCGUAGAUCAGCAUGCUACGGUGAAUACGUUCCCGGGUCU
RNAcentral lists this ribosomal RNA (1371 nucleotides) under uncultured bacterium. Its description in RNAcentral is "bacterial SSU rRNA". It matches the Rfam family "Bacterial small subunit ribosomal RNA", at positions 28 to 1381 of the family's 1533-position model. The record is from RNAcentral.